AGAGUUUGAUCCUGGCUCAGGACGAACGCUGGCGGCGUGCUUAACACAUGCAAGUCGAACGGAAAGGCCCUUCGGGGUACUCGAGUGGCGAACGGGUGAGUAACACGUGGGUGAUCUGCCCUGCACUUUGGGAUAAGCCUGGGAAACUGGGUCUAAUACCGGAUAGGACCACGCGCUUCAUGGUGUGUGGUGGAAAGCUUUUGCGGUGUGGGAUGGGCCCGCGGCCUAUCAGCUUGUUGGUGGGGUAAUGGCCUACCAAGGCGACGACGGGUAGCCGGCCUGAGAGGGUGACCGGCCACACUGGGACUGAGAUACGGCCCAGACUCCUACGGGAGGCAGCAGUGGGGAAUAUUGCACAAUGGGCGCAAGCCUGAUGCAGCGACGCCGCGUGAGGGAUGACGGCCUUCGGGUUGUAAACCUCUUUCAAUAGGGACGAAGCGCAAGUGACGGUACCUAUAGAAGAAGGACCGGCCAACUACGUGCCAGCAGCCGCGGUAAUACGUAGGGUCCGAGCGUUGUCCGGAAUUACUGGGCGUAAAGAGCUCGUAGGUGGUUUGUCGCGUUGUUCGUGAAAACUCACAGCUUAACUGUGGGCGUGCGGGCGAUACGGGCAGACUAGAGUACUGCAGGGGAGACUGGAAUUCCUGGUGUAGCGGUGGAAUGCGCAGAUAUCAGGAGGAACACCGGUGGCGAAGGCGGGUCUCUGGGCAGUAACUGACGCUGAGGAGCGAAAGCGUGGGGAGCGAACAGGAUUAGAUACCCUGGUAGUCCACGCCGUAAACGGUGGGUACUAGGUGUGGGUUUCCUUCCUUGGGAUCCGUGCCGUAGCUAACGCAUUAAGUACCCCGCCUGGGGAGUACGGCCGCAAGGCUAAAACUCAAAGGAAUUGACGGGGGCCCGCACAAGCGGCGGAGCAUGUGGAUUAAUUCGAUGCAACGCGAAGAACCUUACCUGGGUUUGACAUGCACAGGACGCCGGCAGAGAUGUCGGUUCCCUUGUGGCCUGUGUGCAGGUGGUGCAUGGCUGUCGUCAGCUCGUGUCGUGAGAUGUUGGGUUAAGUCCCGCAACGAGCGCAACCCUUGUCUCAUGUUGCCAGCACGUUAUGGUGGGGACUCGUGAGAGACUGCCGGGGUCAACUCGGAGGAAGGUGGGGAUGACGUCAAGUCAUCAUGCCCCUUAUGUCCAGGGCUUCACACAUGCUACAAUGGCCGGUACAAAGGGCUGCGAUGCCGUGAGGUGGAGCGAAUCCUUUCAAAGCCGGUCUCAGUUCGGAUCGGGGUCUGCAACUCGACCCCGUGAAGUCGGAGUCGCUAGUAAUCGCAGAUCAGCAACGCUGCGGUGAAUACGUUCCCGGGCCUUGUACACACCGCCCGUCACGUCAUGAAAGUCGGUAACACCCGAAGCCGGUGGCCUAACCCUUGUGGAGGGAGCCGUCGAAGGUGGGAUCGGCGAUUGGGACGAAGUCGUAACAAGGUAGCCGUA
RNAcentral lists this ribosomal RNA (1482 nucleotides) under Mycolicibacterium senegalense. RNAcentral describes it as "Mycobacterium senegalense 16S ribosomal RNA". It matches the Rfam family "Bacterial small subunit ribosomal RNA". The record is from RNAcentral. RNAcentral also lists the same sequence under 2 other names. Lineage: Bacteria; Bacillati; Actinomycetota; Actinomycetes; Mycobacteriales; Mycobacteriaceae.